RNAcentral lists this ribosomal RNA (796 nucleotides) under uncultured Alphaproteobacteria bacterium. Its description in RNAcentral is "bacterial SSU rRNA". It matches the Rfam family "Bacterial small subunit ribosomal RNA", at positions 42 to 886 of the family's 1533-position model. The record is from RNAcentral. Lineage: Bacteria; Pseudomonadati; Pseudomonadota; Alphaproteobacteria.
GCAUGCCUCAUACAUGCAAGUCGAACGAGGUCUUCGGACCUAGUGGCGCACGGGUGAGUAACAUGUGGGAAUCUACCUGAAGGUUCGGAAUAACUGCGGGAAACUGUAGCUAAUACCGGAUGUGUCUGCAAAGAGAAAGAUUUAUCGCCUUCAGAUGAGCCCGCACUAGAUUAGCUAGUUGGUGAGGUAAUUGCUCCACCAAGGCUACGAUCUAUAGCUGAUUUGAGAGGAUGAUCAGCCACACUGGGACUGAGACACGGCCCAGACUCCUACGGGAGGCAGCAGUAGGGAAUAUUGGACAAUGGGGGAAACCCUGAUCCAGCAAUGCCGCGUGAGUGAAGAAGGCCUUCGGGUUGUAAAGCUCUUUCAUCAAUGAUGAUAAUGACAUUAGUUGAAGAAGAAGCCCCGGCUAACUUCGUGCCAGCAGCCGCGGUAAUACGAAGGGGGCUAGCGUUGUUCGGAAUCACUGGGCGUAAAGCGUAUGUAGGCGGAUCAAAAAGUUAGAUGUGAAAUCCCUGGGCUCAACCCAGGAACUGCAUUUAAAACUAGUGAUCUAGAAUUUGGUAGGGGUUAGUAGAAUUUCCAGUGUAGAGGUGAAAUUCGUAGAUAUUGGAAAGAAUACCAGUGGCGAAGGCGACUAACUGGGCCAUUUUUGACGCUGAGAUACGAAAGCGUGGGUAGCAAACAGGAUUAGAUACCCUGGUAGUCCACGCAGUAAACGAUGAGUGCUAGUCGCUGGGACAAAAGUUUCAGUGUCGAAGCUAACGCAUUAAGCACUCCGCCUGGGAAGUACGGU